GUAUUUUUACCGCCGGGUAAAAACUUAAGCGUUGGACUUCGUAUCGUUAGGCCAUAGAAGAUACGAGGCUCUGGCGCUUUUAUUUU
RNAcentral lists this non-coding RNA (86 nucleotides) under unclassified sequences. The record is from RNAcentral.